UGGGUCGGCAAGACGGCCGCGCUCGUGGGCUCCUCUCGGGGAACCCACGGUCGAGGAACGUCCGGGCUCCGCAGAGCAGGAUGGUGGGUAACACCCACCCGGGGUAACCCGCGAGAACAGUGCAACAGAAAGCAGACCGCCGGGUGCGAGAGCAUCCGGUAAGGGUGAAACGGUGGUGUAAGAGACCACCAGCGGCAGUGGUGACACGGUCGGCUAGGUAAACCUCGUCCGGAGCAAGGUCAAACAGGGAGCGUUACGGGCUGCUCGCCCAGCUCCCGGGUAGGCCGCUAGAGGCGUGCGGCAACGUACGCCGUAGAUAGAUGGCCGUCCAGCAUCCUCUCGAGGGUGUGAACAGAACCCGGCGUAUCAGCCGGCCCAUUCG
Molecule: RNase P RNA, 382 nt
Filed under: Salinibacterium sp.
Lineage: Bacteria; Bacillati; Actinomycetota; Actinomycetes; Micrococcales; Microbacteriaceae
Description: RNase P RNA component class A
Rfam family: Bacterial RNase P class A
About the family: Ribonuclease P (RNase P) is a ubiquitous endoribonuclease, found in archaea, bacteria and eukarya as well as chloroplasts and mitochondria. Its best characterised activity is the generation of mature 5'-ends of tRNAs by cleaving the 5'-leader elements of precursor-tRNAs.
Source: RNAcentral